CAAUAAGCGGAGGAAAAGAAACUAACUAGGAUUCCCUUAGUAACGGCGAGUGAACCGGGAUGAGCUCAAAUUUGAAAUCUGGCGUCUUUCAGGCGUCCGAGUUGUAAUCUAUAGAGGCGUUUUCCGCGCCGGACCGCGUCCAAGUCUCUUGGAAUAGAGUAUCAAAGAGGGUGACAAUCCCGUACUUGACGCGACAACCGGUGCUCUGUGAUACGUUCUCAACGAGUCGAGUUGUUUGGGAAUGCAGCUCUAAAUGGGUGGUAAAUUCCAUCUAAGGCUAAAUAUUGGCGAGAGACCGAUAGCGAACAAGUACCGUGAGGGAAAGAUGAAAAGCACUUUGGAAAGAGAGUUAAACAGCACGUGAAAUUGUUAAAAGGGAAACGAUUGAAGUCAGUCGUGUGAAAGGUAUUCAGCCGUCUCUGGCGGUGUAUUUGCCUUUCACGGGUCAACAUCAGUUUAGUCCGGUAGAAAAAGGCUGGAGGAAGGUGGCACCCUCGGGUGUGUUAUAGCCUCCUGUCACAUGUGCCGGAUUAGACUGAGGAACGCAGCUUGCCGCAAGGCCGGGGUUCGCCCACGUACAAGCUUAGGAUGUUGACAUAAUGGCUUUAAACGACCCGUCUUGGAAACACGGACCA
RNAcentral lists this ribosomal RNA (635 nucleotides) under Cryptococcus sp. VTT C-04550. RNAcentral describes it as "eukaryotic LSU rRNA". It matches the Rfam family "Eukaryotic large subunit ribosomal RNA", at positions 44 to 668 of the family's 3401-position model. Lineage: Eukaryota; Fungi; Basidiomycota; Tremellomycetes; Tremellales; Cryptococcaceae. The record is from RNAcentral.